RNAcentral lists this ribosomal RNA (423 nucleotides) under uncultured Bacillota bacterium. Its description in RNAcentral is "bacterial SSU rRNA". Lineage: Bacteria; Bacillati; Bacillota. The record is from RNAcentral.
UGGCGGCACGCCUAACACAUKCAAGUCGAACGGAGAUAUUUUGGUUUAMUGAGAUAUCUUAGUGGCGGACGGGUGAGUAACACGUGAGCAACCUGCCUCUGAGAGAGGGAUAGCUUCUGGAAACGGAUGGUAAUACCUCAUAACAUAACGAAGCCGCAUGACUUUGUUAUCAAAGAUUUAUCACUCAGAGAUGGGCUCGCGUYUGAUUAGAUAGUUGGUGAGGUAACGGCUCACCAAGUCGACGAUCAGUAGCCGGACUGAGAGGUUGAACGGCCACAUUGGGACUGAGACACGGCCCAGACUCCUACGGGAGGCAGCAGUGGGGAAUAUUGYWCAAUGGGGGAAACCCUGAUGCAGCGAUGCCGCGUGGAGGAAGAAGGUUUUCGGAUUGUAAACUCCUGUCUAAAGGACGAUAAUGAACGG